Molecule: long non-coding RNA, 464 nt
Filed under: Citrus x clementina
Lineage: Eukaryota; Viridiplantae; Streptophyta; Magnoliopsida; Sapindales; Rutaceae
Description: Citrus clementina (C. clementina) long non-coding RNA (CCLE_LNC004455)
Source: RNAcentral
UUUUCUCAUGGGUUCUUUGCAUAUCACCCUCCAUCGAUCCUGCAAUUGAUAUUGGCUUCGUCACUCCAUACUGCUUAGGCGGUAACGGCGGCAAAAUCAUUCUCUUCGAACUCAACAUUAAAAACAAUGAAAUACCCCCUACAAAAAAGCCCUAAUUUUUGGAUUCGAACUUUCGAAAAAACCCUAGCUUUGCUCAAAUUCUUCACAACACUUUCUAGUUCAAGGGUAUUUUAGGUCAAGGAUGGCGAUUUGAAGGUUGACGGCGACGGCUGAGGUAGAUCAUUGUUAUAGAGAGAGAGAGAGAGAAGGAAGGAAGAGAGCUUCAGUUCAUAGCAAGAAGCGGCCGUGGAGAAUGUUUUUUCACUUCUUAAAAAUUUUAGAUUUUAGGUUUUCAUGUACACCUUCCAUUAAAACGACAUAGUAUCUAGGUAAUUUAAUUUAAUUUUUAAUAUUAUUUACUUAUU